Dreissena polymorpha is the source of this 168-nucleotide long non-coding RNA. RefSeq lists it as uncharacterized. The record is from RefSeq and is a predicted model, not a curated record. Lineage: Eukaryota; Metazoa; Mollusca; Bivalvia; Myida; Dreissenidae. The transcript is spliced from 3 exons.
GGCCAUGCCAAAGACUACAUAGAGGUAAGUGCUGGACUUCGAGAGAGACUGGGGCCAUGCUAAAGACUACAUAGAGGUAAGUGCUGGACUUCGAGAGAGACUGGGGCCAUGCUAAAGACUACAUAGAGGUAAGUGCUGGACUUCGAGAGAGACUGGGGCCAUGCUAAA